This 266-nucleotide long non-coding RNA is filed under the name Gallus gallus (chicken). RNAcentral's name for it is "lncRNA (ENSGALG00010011177.1)". Lineage: Eukaryota; Metazoa; Chordata; Aves; Galliformes; Phasianidae. The record is from RNAcentral.
AAAGAGAAAAGGGAUGCAGUGUGGAGGCAGCAGAUAACAACAUGAAAUGCUAAAUAGUCAACUGCUUAAGGGAUCAUUUCUCCCUUUCUGUGUUCCCCAAGAUGAAUAACAUCAGCAGCAAGGAAACAAGGCCCAAGCACAGAAACAGCACAUCUUUUUGUGCGGUAAGCAAGGAUUUACUGUUGUUUUAAGUCAGAGACAGACAGGUAUCCACUUCACCACAAAACUUUGAGUUAGCUAAGCCUCAUCAUUCCACUACAGUGCAG